UUGGCUGGGGCGGCACAUCUG
RNAcentral lists this non-coding RNA (21 nucleotides) under Arabidopsis thaliana (thale cress). RNAcentral also lists the same sequence under 1 other name. The record is from RNAcentral. Lineage: Eukaryota; Viridiplantae; Streptophyta; Magnoliopsida; Brassicales; Brassicaceae.